GGCUCCAUAGUGUAGUGGUUAGUACAUCUGCUUUGCACACAGAAGGUCCUGGGUUCACUCUCCAGGUGGAGCCA
Molecule: transfer RNA, 74 nt
Filed under: Pteropus alecto (black flying fox)
Lineage: Eukaryota; Metazoa; Chordata; Mammalia; Chiroptera; Pteropodidae
Rfam family: tRNA
About the family: Transfer RNA (tRNA) molecules are approximately 80 nucleotides in length. Their secondary structure includes four short double-helical elements and three loops (D, anti-codon, and T loops). Further hydrogen bonds mediate the characteristic L-shaped molecular structure. tRNAs have two regions of fundamental functional importance: the anti-codon, which is responsible for specific mRNA codon recognition, and the 3' end, to which the tRNAs corresponding amino acid is attached (by aminoacyl-tRNA synthetases). tRNAs cope with the degeneracy of the genetic code in two manners: having more than one tRNA (with a specific anti-codon) for a particular amino acid; and 'wobble' base-pairing, i.e. permitting non-standard base-pairing at the 3rd anti-codon position.
Source: Rfam by way of RNAcentral